CCCCCAACGCAUGGUGCGCGCGCUCAUUGGCCGAGCCUGAGAUUAAAGCACCGGCGCGCACCGCGGGAGAACUAGGGGGUCGUGAAGUGAUUGGCUGGAGUGCUAGCGCCUCGGACAGGCGAAGGACAUCUUCUCUGACGGACUUUCCAGUUUGGCGGAUGUACAUAGCAGAGGGGCAUUCCAGACUAACACGGCUACCCCUCUGAUAGUUACAAAUAUGGGGGACAGGAGGACUGUUAGGGCACAAGUGUGGCCCAACGGACACUGUUGGCCAAAAGAACCUGAUCUUGCAUGCAUGGGGAGCAUGUACCAAGAGUGGAAUUCAUGUGGAUAACAUAUCUCAGAAAACCGCCAUUACUCUAAGCUUCACCAAUGAUAUAAGCACCGCUUGGGCAAGUGUUAGUUACCUGAACUUCUGCGGAUGAGACGGCAGUAGACAAUCAUGUGAUUUAUUUAUUUGUUUCUUGCAAAAUGGUUUAUUUUAAAAAAUUUCUUGGAGUGCUGAAUUUUUAAUUUUUUUAAAAAAAAACUUAGUUAUUUACAAUAUAGAGAGCAUUUCCCACAAUCUCAUAACAUUUGUAAGGUAUGCCAGUGACAUUUGGGUCCCGAACUACUUGAAAGUCCUUCUAAACAACAUAUAAUAAUUACAUAAUUUAAAAAGUAAUUAAAAAGAAAAACUCGUCCCAAAAUUGAAACAA
Molecule: long non-coding RNA, 698 nt
Organism: Chelonia mydas (Green sea turtle)
Lineage: Eukaryota; Metazoa; Chordata; Testudines; Cheloniidae
Exons: 4
Source: RefSeq, a predicted model, not a curated record